RNAcentral lists this ribosomal RNA (378 nucleotides) under uncultured bacterium. RNAcentral describes it as "bacterial SSU rRNA". It matches the Rfam family "Bacterial small subunit ribosomal RNA", at positions 521 to 898 of the family's 1533-position model. The record is from RNAcentral.
UAAUACGUAGGGGGCAAGCGUUGUCCGGAAUUAUUGGGCGUAAAGCGCGCGCAGGCGGCUGUUUAAGUCUGGUGUAUAAUCCUGGGGCUCAACUCCGGGUCGCACUGGAAACUGGACGGCUUGAGUGCAGAAGAGGAGAGUGGAAUUCCACGUGUAGCGGUGAAAUGCGUAGAGAUGUGGAGGAACACCAGUGGCGAAGGCGACUCUCUGGGCUGUAACUGACGCUGAGGCGCGAAAGCGUGGGGAGCAAACAGGAUUAGAUACCCUGGUAGUCCACGCCGUAAACGAUGAGUGCUAGGUGUUAGGGGUUUCGAUACCCUUGGUGCCGAAGUAAACACAUUAAGCACUCCGCCUGGGGAGUACGGCCGCAAGGCUGAA